RNAcentral lists this ribosomal RNA (584 nucleotides) under uncultured bacterium. RNAcentral describes it as "bacterial SSU rRNA". It matches the Rfam family "Bacterial small subunit ribosomal RNA", at positions 60 to 639 of the family's 1533-position model. The record is from RNAcentral.
AGUCGUGCGAGAAAGUAUCUUCGGAUAUGAGUAGAGCGGCGGACGGGUGAGUAACGCGUAGGAAUCUACCUAGUAGAAGGGGAUAGCCCGGGGAAACCCGGAUUAAUACCGUAUACCUCCUUCGGGAGAAAGAAGGCCUCUCUUUGAAGCUUUCGCUACUAGAUGAGCCUGCGUAAGAUUAGCUUGUUGGUGAGGUAAAGGCUCACCAAGGCGACGAUCUUUAGCUGGUCUGAGAGGACGAUCAGCCACAUUGGGACUGAGACACGGCCCAGACUCCUACGGGAGGCAGCAGUGGGGAAUAUUGGACAAUGGGCGCAAGCCUGAUCCAGCCAUACCGCGUGUGUGAAGAAGGCCUUCGGGUUGUAAAGCACUUUAAGCAGGGAGAAAAAGUUAUAAGUUAAUACCUUAUAACCCUGAUGUUACCUGCAGAAUAAGCACCGGCUAAUUCCGUGCCAGCAGCCGCGGUAAUACGGAAGGUGCAAGCGUUAAUCGGAAUUACUGGGCGUAAAGCGCGCGUAGGUGGUUUGUUAAGUUGGAUGUGAAAGCCCUGGGCUCAACCUAGGAACUGCAUCCAAAACUAACUC